GUGCCAGCCGCCGCGGUAAUACGUAGGUGGCAAGCGUUGUCCGGAUUUACUGGGCGUAAAGCGUGUGUAGGCGGAUAUUUAAGUGAGAUGUGAAAUCCCCGGGCUUAACUUGGGGGCUGCAUUUCAAACUGGAUGUCUUGAGUGCAGGAGAGGAAAGCAGAAUUCCUAGUGUAGCGGUGAAAUGCGUUGAUAUGAGGGAGAAUACCUGUGGCGAAGGCGGCUUUCUGG
This 228-nucleotide ribosomal RNA is filed under the name uncultured bacterium. RNAcentral describes it as "partial 16S rRNA". It matches the Rfam family "Bacterial small subunit ribosomal RNA", at positions 505 to 732 of the family's 1533-position model. The record is from RNAcentral.